UACGAAGGGGGGCUAGCGUUGUUCGGAAUUACUGGGCGUAAAGCGUGCGCAGGCGGCUUCUCAAGUCAGGGGUGAAAGGCCCAGAGCUCAACUCUGGAACUGCCUUUGAGACUGAGAGGCUUGAGUACGGGAGAGGUGAGUGGAAUUCCCAGUGUAGAGGUGAAAUUCGUAGAUAUUGGGAAGAACACCGGUGGCGAAGGCGGCUCACUGGCCCGUAACUGACGCUCAUGCACGACAGCGUGGGGAUCAAACAGG
This 255-nucleotide ribosomal RNA is filed under the name uncultured bacterium. RNAcentral's name for it is "partial 16S ribosomal RNA". It matches the Rfam family "Bacterial small subunit ribosomal RNA", at positions 524 to 776 of the family's 1533-position model. The record is from RNAcentral.